ACUCCCCCUCACCCGCACACUCCCCCGCACCCUCACGGCUUUCCCCGCACCGCUGCUCAGACAUGAAUACCAUUCUCAGUGUUCGAAAGCCGACCGUUCCUUUUACUGCAAAAUUCACUGAAGAACUAGGUGAAGAAUCAAUAAUAGUUAUUAAAGGAAAGUUGACUGAUGAUCCUCUCAGGUGGGACAACCUUACCCAUUGGGCUUUGAGUUGGGAGCUGAGUGGGAAGAAGCUUGACUUGAUCUGAUGCCUGAAGAGGAUUCACUAAAUGACUUUUAUUCUGAUUCGAUGUUAAUUUUCAAAGGGGAGAUAGCCCUGAGGCAGACAUCCUAUUCCACUUCAAUCCUCGUUUCAAAGAGGAGCUUGAGAAAAUUAUCUUUAAUUCACGGGGACCAGAUGGCUGGGGAUUUCAGGGUGAGAAGUAUGAAAAUAUUACCACCAGAGGUUCUUCAUUCAAACUCGUGUUUGUGGUGUGGAGAAACUGCUUCCAGGUAUCUGUAAGUGGUAGACACAUACUUGAAUUUCCACACCGAAUUGAGGAAUGGAAGCCUGAUACUGUUAUCGUGUUUGGAGAUAUCGAAGUAGAAAGUAUUGAUGUUCUCAGGCUGUAAGAGGACAGCUGAAGAAACUACAGGAUGAAUAUUCUUAAGCAAAGUUGACUUAAAUUGCAAGAAUGCAACCAGAACAACAAAUUGCGUUUAUAUAACACCUUUCACGUUGAGAGGAUGUCCCAAGACACGGAGAUAGCAUCUAAAAUAUCAAGGUUUUUAUCUGAUCGUGAAAACAACAUGCACCCGAAAGAGAGAAUUUGUAUGCGUCCAGAGAGAAUGAUUGAUGAGUGACUCAAUGAGUGAACGACAUUCAUGCUCGCACGUACACACAGGCACAGACAGAUUGACAGACUGAGGAGGAGCGCUACAGUCAGAAAGUGAGCAGAAGCGCGACACUG
Molecule: RNA transcript, 950 nt
Organism: Callorhinchus milii (elephant shark)
Lineage: Eukaryota; Metazoa; Chordata; Chondrichthyes; Chimaeriformes; Callorhinchidae
Gene name: galectin-8-like
Exons: 7
Source: RefSeq, a predicted model, not a curated record